AUUGAACGCUGGCGGCAGGCCUAACACAUGCAAGUCGAGCGGAGCGGCGGACGGGGGAGUAAUGCCUAGGAAGCUGCCUGGGAGUGGGGGAUAACGUACGGAAACGGGCGAUAAUACCGCAUACUAUCAGAUGAGCCUAGGUCGGAUUCGAUAGUUGGUGGGGUAAAGGCCUACCAAGGCGACGAUCCGUAACUGGUCUGAGAGGAUGAUCAGUCACACGGUAACUGAGACACGGUCCAGACUCCUACGGGAGGCAGCAGUGGGGAAGAUUGGACAAUGGGCGAAAGCCUGAUCCAGCCAUGCCGCGUGUGUGAAGAAGGUCUUCGGAUUGUAAAGCACUUUAAGUUGGGAGGCGUUACCCACAGAAUAAGCACCGGCUAACUUCGUGCCAGCAGCCGCGGUAAUUC
Molecule: ribosomal RNA, 407 nt
Filed under: uncultured bacterium
Lineage: Bacteria
Description: partial 16S ribosomal RNA
Rfam family: Bacterial small subunit ribosomal RNA
Source: RNAcentral